UUGUGGGUGACUCAGUGGUAGAGCACUUGCCUAGCAUGCAUGAGGCACUGAUUUUUCAGCACCACAUA
This 68-nucleotide transfer RNA is filed under the name Marmota monax (woodchuck). RNAcentral describes it as "tRNA.Ala". The record is from RNAcentral. Lineage: Eukaryota; Metazoa; Chordata; Mammalia; Rodentia; Sciuridae.